UACGUAGGGGGCUAGCGUUGUCCGGAUUUACUGGGCGUAAAGGGAGCGUAGGCGGACUUUUAAGUGAGAUGUGAAAUACUCGGGCUCAACUUGAGUGCUGCAUUUCAAACUGGAAGUCUAGAGUGCAGGAGAGGAGAAUGGAAUUCCUAGUGUAGCGGUGAAAUGCGUAGAGAUUAGGAAGAACACCAGUGGCGAAGGCGAUUCUCUGGACUGUAACUGACGCUGAGGCUCGAAAGCGUGGGGAGCAAACAGG
RNAcentral lists this ribosomal RNA (253 nucleotides) under uncultured bacterium. RNAcentral describes it as "partial 16S ribosomal RNA". It matches the Rfam family "Bacterial small subunit ribosomal RNA", at positions 524 to 776 of the family's 1533-position model. The record is from RNAcentral.